GUUUUCACAGGAUCAAAACAUUCGUUUCUUUAUUCGUUUCUUUAUCUAUAAUCAAGAUUGGUCAGGCACACCACAGCAUUUGUAUAUACAUAUGGAUAUUACGUAAAAAGCACAAGUACACAAAUCUAAGUGAUAUAGCUAGCACAAGCAUAUAGAUACAUAGUGCAGGUGUACGUACCCUAGCAUGCAUGCAAGCUUGCUAAGUACAAGGCAUCUAAAGAAAGCUUCUCAUGGCUUAGCUUCUUCACUCCCAAUGUCAUGACCACUUCCCGGCAUGUUUCCGGGGCUACUCCAGCUAUCAUACUCGGGCCUUGGUAUGGCAUGAUGGUUGUCCACCGACGUCCCCUCCGUCCCAGCCUUCACUAUGUGUACUAACUGAUCCCUUGCCGCCGCCAUGUGAGGUGACGCCGUGGAAGCAUUGAGGAUGAGCAUAGCAAGGAGAAAAGGAGGCAUAAGCUUCAUGGUGAAAGAAGUGAGAUCUUGGAACAGACAGCAGGGAGAUGGAAGAUAGGAAACACGGCCCUAUGAGUUGUUCAGCUCUGAUUACCGUUUUGGUUCUUAAGGCCUCAUGCUUGGUACGUAAUU
Molecule: long non-coding RNA, 585 nt
Filed under: Panicum hallii
Lineage: Eukaryota; Viridiplantae; Streptophyta; Magnoliopsida; Poales; Poaceae
Description: long non-coding RNA (PHAL_LNC000684)
Source: RNAcentral